CCGCAUACGUCCUACGGGAGAAAGCAGGGGACCUUCGGGCCUUGCGCUAUCAGAUGAGCCUAGGUCGGAUUAGCUAGUUGGUGAGGUAAUGGCUCACCAAGGCUACGAUCCGUAACUGGUCUGAGAGGAUGAUCAGUCACACUGGAACUGAGACACGGUCCAGACUCCUACGGGAGGCAGCAGUGGGGAAUAUUGGACAAUGGGCGAAAGCCUGAUCCAUCCAAGGCGCGUGUGUGAAGAAGGUCUUCGGAUUGU
Molecule: ribosomal RNA, 255 nt
Filed under: uncultured bacterium
Lineage: Bacteria
Description: partial 16S ribosomal RNA
Rfam family: Bacterial small subunit ribosomal RNA
Source: RNAcentral